GUUUAGUAGAAAGACAAUCCUUUUUUCUUCCAGUCAAUUUUUUCUUUGAUCUACAGAACUUGCUUCUUUUCUCUGAAGUUUUCACAAUACAGCAUGAUAGAAGGAGCACAGAGUGCCAGAGGCAGGGAAUUCCUAUGCUUCACUAGUGACUCAUAAGAAAACUUAAUAGAAGGUCUCUACUGCCUGCUGGCCCUGCAGUACCUGAUUGAUGUGGUCCCAAACUAAAGUAGGCUAACCUUCAUUGAACCAAGCACUUCAGAGCCAUGGGAAGAAGUAUGGGGGAAGGAGUCCUUGUACUCUGGCAAUGAGGAAAACAAACAUUAACAGUGCAAGACACAGUGAGAGUCACAGAUCCAUGGAUGGACGAUCCUUUUGAGGACAAUAGAGGGGGAAUUUGGAUAAGUUUCCUGAGUGAGAAACCUUCCAGAUGGCAAUCUGAAAGUUAGCUGUUCCUUCUCAAAACACAGAGCUUUCUCAAGAGAAAGAUAACACCCUCUUUCAUCAGAGCGAGCGAGCUUUCUUCAUGGUGGCAAUUUCCAGUCUCCAGUGCAAGGAGGGGAAACUGAAGGAGAAUAAGGCGGUUACAUUCAGUUAGAGCCUGAGAGCAGAAUUUGGUUAGGCUGAAGCAGCUGGAAACUGUGGAAUGUAAUACCAGAGAGGAGACUGCCACACAAAGAACUCUAAAAAUUUUGAUUUUCAGCAAACCUUCAGAAGGCAAAAGGGAAAGUUUUCCCAUGGGCCAACGUGGAUAUGUUUCUGUAAUAGUCUGCUCAGCCUUCUACAACAAGAUGUCGCAGACUGGGUGACUUAAACCAGGGAUCCUCAAACCCUGGCAAUGGAUCGGUACGGGUCAGUGGCCUGUUAGGAAUCAGGCCACGUAGCAGGAGGGUCUUGCUCUGUCACCCAGGCUGGAGUGCAAUGGCACGAUCUCAGCUGACUGCAACCUCCACCUUCCAGGCUCAAGUGAUUCUCCCACUUCAGCUUCUCAAUCCAUAUUUGGAAUAACAACAAUAUAACACUCCUUUGGUAGUUAUAUUUUCUCACCUUCUUUACAGAAGAAGAAAUCCUUACUUAGAAAGGAAAAGAAUACCUCGAAAUUUGUCACUUUGGACUUCAAACAGAGCAGCUGAAGAGCAGCAAAGGCAGGGAAAGGGCUUUCUCUGAUCUACCCUUAACCGACUAAGACACUGUAUUAGGAUCUGGUGACAUAGUGGGAUAGAAGGACAAAGCCACGCUCUUAUGAAGCUUACAUUCUAGGAUAAUUCUUUGCCAUAAACAUAAACCAAACACUUCCACUAGAAAUGCUGACCAAUGCCUGGAUUCUCUGCUCAUUCUAGGGGAAACCAGCUGCCAUAUUAAGAAAACAGUCCUAUGGAAAGGGCCAUGGAACAAAGAAGUGACUUCUGCCAACAACCUCAUGAGUGAACCUAGAAGUGGCUCAUCUAGUCCUGGUCAAAUCUUAUGGACUGUGGCUCCAACUGAUAGUGUGACUGUAACUUCAUAAGAGACGCUGAACCAGACCACCCAAUAAGACACUCCCAGAUUCCCUACUCUCAAAAGUUGUGUGAAAUAAUCACCCCCAGUUGUAUUAAACUGCUAAGUUUUGGGGUAGUGUGUUACACAGCAAUAAAUCAUAAAUACAACAUCCAAGCAAUAAAUUUCUAUGAUAAAUACAUAUGAAGAGUAGAUCUCUGUUUAUAGGCUGAGAUUUGUGUUCAUUACAG
Molecule: long non-coding RNA, 1724 nt
Filed under: Homo sapiens (human)
Lineage: Eukaryota; Metazoa; Chordata; Mammalia; Primates; Hominidae
Description: HSALNT0351486
Source: RNAcentral